GUUGGUAUUGUCGCACGGUGAGGACCUUCUCUGGCUGUCCGAUUGGAGUCAAGUAUUGUAGCACGGUGAGGACCUUCACUCGUUGUCCGGUUGGAGUCAAGUGAUUGUGAGCCAUCUACUUUUACUGCAACAGAAGAAGCACCUGAGCUUUCUCAAGAAAGCAGUGUGACCAGCCAGUCUUUGGAAUGCAAAGCAGCAACAGUUGCGUAGCCAGUGCCACUGAGAAAACACAAAAAGAAGCUGCAUUAUAUAACUUUGUGCUUACUCUGCAAGUUUUAACAGCACACAAUGGGCCUAUUUCAGACGCGGUUGGAGUUGCUAUCGCUGUUUCCUUGGAAGCAGCAGUGAUAGCGCUAUACAGUGAUGCAGCAGAAGGAGUCUAUUACAAGCAGACACCUCAUACUACAGAAGUGAUCUGACCUGCAUCCUAGGAUGCAGCAUUGGAUCACUCAGUCAUCAUCGGGCUGGUUACUGCACCCAUUGUGCUGCGCUAGCCACCCGCGGCAGAUAUCCGGAAAUCUCCGUCCCACAACGGAAAUCCCUGACCCUCCCCCUAAUCGGUGGAAACAUGCCUCUAUUUUCACAAAUGAAGGCUGUCGCUGCUACCCCAGAUGGCAGCAGACUGUCAAUAACUGACAGCCUGCUGCCGUCCUGCAUCGCAGAACCCAUUCACGCACGUGCAGAAUGGAUCUUGCGCAUGCGAAAAGUACCGAUAAUCAGUACUUUGUGUCACAAUAUGCAAUAUUAAUACUGUUCCACCCACAGGCCGCAGUAUCCCCUAGGUGGAGGGGAGGUUGGGGGAGACUUUGAUCAGCACUGAUCAGUGAUCAAUGAAUAGAUGCUGUGCGAUUGUGCCUUCAUAAUGCUAAAAACAGGUUCAUGGCAUGAGGCCACACCCCUCCCAUCCAAGGCCACACCCCUAAAGUCUAAAACCAUGCCUCUUUUACUGUUGCAUGUGUCUAUGAAGUUCAUGGGAGCAAAAGUUGUGAGGUAUGCAGAUAAGUGGGAUGCAUUUGCUUCCAUUCCGUAUUGAAGAUAUGGGGCGGGAUGUAAUGCUGCCCAUAUUCGACAAAUGCGUGGGAUGCCAGCUGAACUCAGACGCUUUUUAAUAGGAGCAAUCACUUACAAGGCAUGGUUUUGCCUUGUAAGUGAAUGCCUCUUUAAAAAACGUCUGGGUUCGGCCAACAUCCUGUCCCCAGGCCUUCAGAAUGGAACACAGUAUUCUAGAUGAGGCUGUACCAAUAACCUAUACAGGGGCAUUAUUACUUCUUUCUUUCUGCUGCUAAUUCCUCUCCCUAUACAACCAAGUACCUGACUUGCCUUAUUUAUUGCCUUGUUACAUUGCGUGCCUGCCUUUACGUCACCUGAAAUAGUGACUCCAAGAUUCUAUUCCACCUCAGUAGUUUCCAAUAUAGUGCUGUUUAUAUUAUAUUUAGCCUUUGGAUUUUUG
This is a long non-coding RNA of Pseudophryne corroboree (corroboree frog), 1450 nucleotides long. RefSeq lists it as uncharacterized. The transcript has 3 exons. NCBI's taxonomy places the organism in Eukaryota, Metazoa, Chordata, Amphibia, Anura, Myobatrachidae. The record is from RefSeq and is a predicted model, not a curated record.